RNAcentral lists this ribosomal RNA (253 nucleotides) under uncultured bacterium. Its description in RNAcentral is "partial 16S ribosomal RNA". It matches the Rfam family "Bacterial small subunit ribosomal RNA", at positions 524 to 776 of the family's 1533-position model. The record is from RNAcentral.
UACGUAGGGGGCGAGCGUUGUCCGGAAUCAUUGGGCGUAAAGCGCGCGUAGGCGGCCCGGUAAGUCCGCUGUGAAAGUCCAGGGCUCAACCCUGGGAUGCCGGUGGAUACUGUCGGGCUCGAGUCCGGAAGAGGCGAGUGGAAUUCCUGGUGUAGCGGUGAAAUGCGCAGAUAUCAGGAGGAACACCAAUGGCGAAGGCAGCUCGCUGGGACGUGACUGACGCUGAGACGCGAAAGCGUGGGGAGCAAACAGG